GUACACGCUGUGACUAGCAUAUCAAUAAGCGGAGGAAAAGAAACUAACAAGGAUUCCCCUAGUAACGGCGAGUGAAGCGGGAAGAGCUCAAAUUUGAAAUCUUAAAGGGUUUCCCUUUACGAAUUGUAGUUUAAAGAAGUGUUUUCUGUUGAGGUUUUGGUAAAAGUUCUUUGGAAUAGGACAUCAUAGAGGGUGAGAGUCCCGUAUUUGACCUUUACUUUCAACUUUGUGAUACACUUCAAAGAGUCGGAUUGUUUGGGAAUGCAGUCCAAAAUGGGUGGUAAAUUUCAUCUAAAGCUAAAUAUUGGCGAGAGACCGAUAGCGAACAAGUACCGUGAGGGAAAGAUGAAAAGAACUUUGAAAAGAGAGUUAAACAGUACGUGAAAUUGUCAAAAGGGAAGCGUUUGACACCAGUGUUGUUUUUCUGAAAAUCAAUUAAAGAACUGUUUAUGCUAAGCUGUUUAGACUUUAUCAGCUAUCUGUUUAGUUUUGAGCUUUUCUUUAAUGCACUUUUCAGUUAACAAGUCUAACAUCAAUUUCUUUUGCUGUAAAAAAGCUUGAGGAAGGUGGCUUGAGAUUCGUCUUAAGUGUUUAUAGCCUCUUGCCUAUGCAGUCGGAGAGAUUGAGGUCUGCAGCGUAGAUCCUUCGGGGCUAAAUGCGUUUGUGCUAAGUUAUAGCAUUUUAUAGACAACUUGUUGACUAUGAUUUGUCUUGUAGCUUACUCGCUUAUGUUAUUUUACCUACGCUUAGGAUGUUGACGCGCGUGUGUGCGUG
Molecule: ribosomal RNA, 774 nt
Filed under: uncultured Neocallimastigales
Lineage: Eukaryota; Fungi; Neocallimastigomycota; Neocallimastigomycetes; Neocallimastigales
Description: partial large subunit ribosomal RNA
Rfam family: Eukaryotic large subunit ribosomal RNA
Source: RNAcentral